RNAcentral lists this ribosomal RNA (254 nucleotides) under uncultured bacterium. RNAcentral describes it as "partial 16S ribosomal RNA". It matches the Rfam family "Bacterial small subunit ribosomal RNA", at positions 524 to 776 of the family's 1533-position model. The record is from RNAcentral.
UACGUAGGGUCCAAGCGUUGUCCGGAUUUAUUGGGCGUAAAGAGCUCGUAGGCGGUUCGGUAAGUCGGGUGUGAAAACCCCAGGCUCAACCUGGGGACGCCACUCGAUACUGCUGUGACUUGAGUUCGGUAGGGGAGCACGGAAUUCCUGGUGUAGCGGUGAAAUGCGCAGAUAUCAGGAGGAACACCGGUGGCGAAGGCGGUGCUCUGGGCCGAAACUGACGCUGAGGAGCGAGAGCGUGGGUAGCAAACAGG